GUGGGGAAUUUUGGACAAUGGGCGCAAGCCUGAUCCAGCAAUGCCGCGUGCAGGAAGAAGGCCUUCGGGUUGUAAACUGCUUUUGUACGGAACGAAACGGUCCUGGCUAAUAUCCGGGGCUAAUGACGGUACCGUAAGAAUAAGCACCGGCUAACUACGUGCCAGCAGCCGCGGUAAUACGUAGGGUGCGAGCGUUAAUCGGAAUUACUGGGCGUAAAGCGUGCGCAGGCGGUGCUGUAAGACAGGCGUGAAAUCCCCGGGCUCAACCUGGGAAUUGCGCUUGUGACUGCAGUGCUGGAGUGCGGCAGAGGGGGAUGGAAGUCCGCGUGUAGCAGUGAAAUGCGUAGAUAUCAGGAGGAACACCGAUGGCGAAGGCAGCCCCCUGGGCCUGUACUGACGCUCAUGCACGAAAGCGUGGGGAGCAAACAGGAUUAGAUACCCUUGUAGUCC
This 450-nucleotide ribosomal RNA is filed under the name uncultured bacterium. RNAcentral's name for it is "partial 16S ribosomal RNA". It matches the Rfam family "Bacterial small subunit ribosomal RNA", at positions 354 to 796 of the family's 1533-position model. The record is from RNAcentral.